RNAcentral lists this small RNA (286 nucleotides) under Sulfitobacter dubius. RNAcentral's name for it is "5_ureB_sRNA". It matches the Rfam family "5' ureB small RNA". The record is from RNAcentral. Lineage: Bacteria; Pseudomonadati; Pseudomonadota; Alphaproteobacteria; Rhodobacterales; Roseobacteraceae.
CGUCUUCGAUCUGUUGCGGGCAGAUGAAAUGGAUGUGGCUGUCAAACCCACCUGCGGUCAGAAUGCGCCCCUCGCCCGCGAUCACUUCGGUUCCCGGCCCGAUGAUGAUGUUCACACCCGGUUGCGUGUCGGGGUUGCCUGCCUUGCCGAUCUUGGCGAUACGCCCGUCUUUCAGCCCCACAUCGGCUUUGUAGAUGCCGGUAUGGUCGACGAUCAGCGCAUUGGUGAUGACCGUAUCAACGGCCCCGCCUGCGCGGGUCACCUGCGAUUGGCCCAUGCCGUCGCG